UACAGAGGGUGCAAGCGUUGUUCGGAAUUAUUGGGCGUAAAGAGCUCGUAGGCGGCUUGUCGCGUCGGAUGUGAAAGCCCGGGGCUUAACUCCGGGUCUGCAUUCGAUACGGGCAGGCUAGAGUUCGGUAGGGGAGAUCGGAAUUCCUGGUGUAGCGGUGAAAUGCGCAGAUAUCAGGAGGAACACCCGUAGCGAAGGCGGCACUCUGGGCCGAUUCUGACACUGAGGAGCGAAAGCGUGGGGAGCGAACAGG
Molecule: ribosomal RNA, 253 nt
Filed under: uncultured bacterium
Lineage: Bacteria
Description: partial 16S ribosomal RNA
Rfam family: Bacterial small subunit ribosomal RNA
Source: RNAcentral